GGGGAUCUGCCCGAUAGAGGGGGAUAACCACUGGAAACGGUGGCUAAUGCCGCAUAACGUCGCAAGACCAAAGAGGGGGACCUUCGGGCCUCUCACUAUCGGAUGAACCCAGAUGGGAUUAGCUAGUAGGCGGGGUAAUGGCCCACCUAGGCGACGAUCCCUAGCUGGUCUGAGAGGAUGACCAGCCACACUGGAACUGAGACACGGUCCAGACUCCUACGGGAGGCAGCAGUGGGGAAUAUUGCACAAUGGGCGCAAGCCUGAUGCAGCCAUGCCGCGUGUAUGAAGAAGGCCUUCGGGUUGUAAAGUACUUUCAGCGGGGAGGAAGGCGGUGCGGUUAAUAACCGCGCCGAUUGACGUUACCCGCAGAAGAAGCACCGGCUAACUCCGUGCCAGCAGCCGCGGUAAUACGGAGGGUGCAAGCGUUAAUCGGAAUUACUGGGCGUAAGGCGCACGCAGGCGGUCUGUUAAGUCAGAUGUGAAAUCCCCGGGCUUAACCUGGGAACUGCAUUUGAAACUGGCAGGCUUGAGUCUCGUAGAGGGGGGUAGAAUUCCAGGU
This 559-nucleotide ribosomal RNA is filed under the name uncultured bacterium. Its description in RNAcentral is "bacterial SSU rRNA". It matches the Rfam family "Bacterial small subunit ribosomal RNA", at positions 120 to 674 of the family's 1533-position model. The record is from RNAcentral.